Molecule: transfer RNA, 72 nt
Filed under: Bos taurus (domestic cattle)
Lineage: Eukaryota; Metazoa; Chordata; Mammalia; Artiodactyla; Bovidae
Also listed under: 2 other names
Rfam family: tRNA
About the family: Transfer RNA (tRNA) molecules are approximately 80 nucleotides in length. Their secondary structure includes four short double-helical elements and three loops (D, anti-codon, and T loops). Further hydrogen bonds mediate the characteristic L-shaped molecular structure. tRNAs have two regions of fundamental functional importance: the anti-codon, which is responsible for specific mRNA codon recognition, and the 3' end, to which the tRNAs corresponding amino acid is attached (by aminoacyl-tRNA synthetases). tRNAs cope with the degeneracy of the genetic code in two manners: having more than one tRNA (with a specific anti-codon) for a particular amino acid; and 'wobble' base-pairing, i.e. permitting non-standard base-pairing at the 3rd anti-codon position.
Source: Rfam by way of RNAcentral
UCCUUGGAGGCUCAGACAGUAAAGAAUCUGCCUACAAAGCAGUAGACCUAGGUUUGAUCCCUAGCUGGGGAG